Molecule: long non-coding RNA, 204 nt
Filed under: Mytilus galloprovincialis (Mediterranean mussel)
Lineage: Eukaryota; Metazoa; Mollusca; Bivalvia; Mytilida; Mytilidae
Source: RNAcentral
GGUCAGUAAUAAAAAAACUUUAUGAAUUAAGUUUUUUAUCCUACAUUGAACUUUUGAUGUCGUCCCUUAGAUCAUGUCAACUCUUUUAAGAUGAGGAAAAUCAGGAAAUUUUUAAGAUGAGGAAAAUCAGAAAAUUUUUAAGAUUAGGAAAAUCAGGAAAUAGAAGGGGAGUGACUGACGAACAACUUCCUUUCACAUCAACCC